UGCUUAAAUGAUAAAGAAGAGCAAAGAACGUGAGAGAGAAGAAAAGGCAGAGAGUGUGGAUGGAAUCUACCAAACCUGACACUUGUUUCUGUUUUCACCGAGAGAAAAGAAUACGUGAAGUGCACCUUGCAACAUGGCGUCUAAUCCCAAUAUCACGCACGCAAGUUUCCAUGCCAAACAUUCUCCUCCUCCUCUUAUUCUUCUUAUUCUCCUCCUCUUAUUCUUCUUAUUCUCCUUGCCUGUGCCUCUGUUCUGUUAAUUGAUGUAGGUCUGCUCCUUGAACCUAAAAAUUAGCCUUCUUUUCCUCUCUCACACUCUUCGCUCUUCUUUACCAAAGGAACUUAUUCCGAAAGUAACUGAAUCAGAGAAGCUUUUGUAUUCCAGUGAAAUACAGCUGGUAAAGAAGAGCAAAGAGUGUAAGAGAGAGUUAAAAAGGAGGGAGUGUCUUAGCUACACCUCUAUUUUGAUAACUGAUGUAGAUUUGCUCCGUGAACCUACAGAUUAGCCUCCAAAGGAAAUAUACUCUGUUCAACUUGAGGGGAAAACCUAUUUUCCUGUUUUCCCGUCAGAUCUUGUUUUUCCAACCUGCUUUGCCUUAGACGGAUCCGAGCCUUGGUUUUACAAGCAUGAGUAAAUGAGCUUGAUAAGUUGAUUCGUGAGGGUUUUAGCAUUUACGAAAAAAAAUUCCUUUCAAAAAAUUUUCUUCAUCUAGAAAAUUUUGUGCCUAUCAUGAUUGAAAUUGAGUUUAAACUUUUUUAUGCCGUUUGAAUUCAAUUAUUAUUUGAUGCUAUGAAUUCGUAGUGCAGCCAAGGAGAAUGAGAGAGAGGAGGAGGCUUCUGUCAUUAAACGUUGGAAACUUGAAUGCUUGAUAUUGGGAUUAGACUUCAUAUGUAGGCUACGUUUCCCAACUCAUUCAGAUUUGGUGGAUUCUUGCCUUCUUUUCUUCUCUCAUACUGUUUGCUUUUUUUCACCUGCUAAAACCUUUGUAUUCCGCUGAAAUACAAAAGCUCUCCUUCAGUGCUUUGGUCUU
This is a long non-coding RNA of Cryptomeria japonica (Japanese cedar), 1030 nucleotides long. RefSeq lists it as uncharacterized. Lineage: Eukaryota; Viridiplantae; Streptophyta; Pinopsida; Cupressales; Cupressaceae. The record is from RefSeq and is a predicted model, not a curated record. The transcript has 2 exons.